Molecule: ribosomal RNA, 497 nt
Filed under: uncultured bacterium
Lineage: Bacteria
Description: partial 16S ribosomal RNA
Rfam family: Bacterial small subunit ribosomal RNA
Source: RNAcentral
GAUGAACGCUGGCGGCGUGCCUAAUACAUGCAAGUCGAGCGAACGGACGAGAAGCUUGCUUUUCUGAUGUUAGCGGCGGCCGGGUGAGUAACACGUGGAUAACCUACCUAUAAGACUGGGAUAACUUCGGGAAACCGGAGCUAAUACCGGAUAAUAUUUUGAACCGCAUGGUUCAAAAGUGAAAGACGGUCUUGCUGUCACUUAUAGAUGGAUCCGCGCUGCAUUAGCUAGUUGGUAAGGUAACGGCUUACCAAGGCAACGAUGCAUAGCCGACCUGAGAGGGUGGUCGGCCACACUGGAACGGAGACACGGUCCAGACUCCUACGGGAGGCAGCAGUAGGGAAUCUUCCGCAAUGGGCGAAAGCCUGACGGAGCAACGCCGCGUGAGUGAUGAAGGUCUUCGGAUCGUAAAACUCUGUUAUUAGGGAAGAACAUAUGUGUAAGUAACUGUGCACAUCUUGACGGUACCUAAUCAGAAAGCCACGGCUAACUACGUG